AGAACGAACGCUGGCGGCAUGCCUAACACAUGCAAGUCGAACGAGACCUUCGGGUCUAGUGGCGCACGGGUGCGUAACGCGUGGGAAUCUGCCCUUAGGUACGGAAUAACAGUGAGAAAUUACUGCUAAUACCGUAUGAUGUCUUCGGACCAAAGAUUUAUCGCCUAGGGAUGAGCCCGCGUAGGAUUAGCUAGUUGGUGGGGUAAAGGCCUACCAAGGCGACGAUCCUUAGCUGGUCUGAGAGGAUGAUCAGCCACACUGGGACUGAGACACGGCCCAGACUCCUACGGGAGGCAGCAGUGGGGAAUAUUGGACAAUGGGCGAAAGCCUGAUCCAGCAAUGCCGCGUGAGUGAAGAAGGCCUUCGGGUUGUAAACCUCUUUCAAGUGGGGACGAUAAUGACGGUACCGCAGAAGAAGCUCCGGCCAACUACGCGCCAGCAGCCGC
RNAcentral lists this ribosomal RNA (446 nucleotides) under uncultured bacterium. RNAcentral's name for it is "SSU rRNA". It matches the Rfam family "Bacterial small subunit ribosomal RNA", at positions 26 to 518 of the family's 1533-position model. The record is from RNAcentral.